Molecule: long non-coding RNA, 1257 nt
Organism: Onychostoma macrolepis
Lineage: Eukaryota; Metazoa; Chordata; Actinopteri; Cypriniformes; Cyprinidae
Exons: 3
Source: RefSeq, a predicted model, not a curated record
CAUUUUUAUUUGUGAAAGCAGUAUUUAUAAAUUGACUGUUAAAAAUCUUUAUACAGUAAACAUGAAGGAAGACUUGUCAUGGUGAUUCAUUGGUCAUAAGUUGUAGGUUAAACCAUUUUAAACAUACAUUUGAUCUAAUCAUUAUAGUUUAUUAAUUGUUUUAAAAGAAAGUUGUAAUUUUGUAAAAAAGAAAAUUAUUAUUUUUUUUUUUUCAGAUUGUGGGAAUGUGGUUGUUGAAUAUAGAGGAGAAAUGAUAUAUUUAUUUGAAGCAGAACGCAGAAGGGACAUCUAUAAAAAUACGGUCUGUCUUUACUUGGCAAAACAAGCAGUGCUGAAACUGCACCGUGAAGAAGACUGUGGCCCAGGAAAUCCUGCCUUUGGCAGCGAGGGACAUUAUUCCUGAAGAAGAAAUAACAUACGACUGCGGAGCAAGUGACCGGCUUUGGAGAAAGUUUCACCACUGAUGGGAAGAAAUGUACUGGCAGACAGGGAGUGAGCAGAAGAUCAGGACGGUGGUGCAGAGUGGUGGUCAUCAGCCCUGCAUGUCAACAGCUUCAUUCAGUCCAAAAUGAUGUUUAAAUGGAGGACUUCACAGAGAGGGUCAGUGGCCUGUUUGUCACCACCCACAUGCCAUUUGGGGUCAAUUGUUGUGAGACACUUCUUGUUGUUUUUGCUAAUUUUUAAGAUAGUUUUAAGAUAAAUCAUGUUCUUUCUUAGAACAGUGAUUCCCAAUCCAGCUCUCAAGAUGUAUGUUUGUUUCAUUUAUAUUCUUGCACACUUAAAAUGUUUUCAUGGCUGUAAUUUGUUGAUGCACUGUACUCUGGGUACUAACACAGUACUAAAAUAUUUUAAAAUGUUUUAAUAAAAAUACUUUUGUAAAUAUGUUUGGAUUGCCUUUUGAUUUGUAAUGUUAUUCUGAAGUAUAGUAGUAUCACAAUUUUACUAACUAUAUGUAUGUACUAUUCCAAACACACACACACACACACACACACACACACACACAUAUAUAUUACACAAUAUAGAGUUGAAACAAAAUUAUAGACGGUUUCAACGGCAACAACAUUAACAAACGUUACUGCGCAUGCGCGCUUUUGUGGCCCUAACUUAACUUCCGGUAGACAUCCAAAUACAAUCAGUAACAACAGCUAAGUCCCUCUAGAGUAGAUUAUGUUUUGAUAACAAGCAAAAUAUAUUUCCUGUGUAAAUCAGACAGACUGAGAUGCAGCGAUAACUACUUGGACGGACUUGCAAAUGCAA